GCUAGCUCGGUUGGUAGAGUGUUCCACUGGAAAUGGAGAGGUCCCUGGUUCAAUACCAGGAGCA
This 64-nucleotide transfer RNA is filed under the name Ixodes scapularis (black-legged tick). It matches the Rfam family "tRNA". Rfam says of the family: Transfer RNA (tRNA) molecules are approximately 80 nucleotides in length. Their secondary structure includes four short double-helical elements and three loops (D, anti-codon, and T loops). Lineage: Eukaryota; Metazoa; Arthropoda; Arachnida; Ixodida; Ixodidae. The record is from Rfam by way of RNAcentral.